UACGUAGGGUGCAAGCGUUGUCCGGAAUUAUUGGGCGUAAAGAGCUCGUAGGCGGUUUUGUUGCGUCGGCUGUGAAAUCCCGAGGCUCAACCUCGGGUCUGCAGUCGAUACGAGCAAACUAGAGUGUUGCAGGGGAGACUGGAAUUCCUGGUGUAGCGGUGAAAUGCGCAGAUAUCAGGAGGAACACCGGUGGCGAAGGCGGCUCUCUAGUACGGUACUGACGCUGAGACGCGAAAGCGUGGGGAGCGAACAGG
Molecule: ribosomal RNA, 254 nt
Filed under: uncultured bacterium
Lineage: Bacteria
Description: partial 16S ribosomal RNA
Rfam family: Bacterial small subunit ribosomal RNA
Source: RNAcentral